GUAAUAAUCCUGUAGUCGAAAAUGUUGUCUCUCUUGAGUGGAUCCUGAGUACGACGGAGCACGUGAAAUUCCGUCGGAAUCUGGGAGGACCAUCUCCUAAGGCUAAAUACUCUCUAGUGACCGAUAGUGAACCAGUACCGUGAGGGAAAGGUGAAAAGCACCCCGGAAGGGGAGUGAAAUAGAACCUGAAACCGUGUGCUUACAAGUAGUCAGAGCCCGUUAAUGGGUGAUGGCGUGCCUUUUGUAGAAUGAACCGGCGAGUUACGAUUUGAUGCAAGGUUAAGCAGUAAAUGUGGAGCCGUAGCGAAAGCGAGUCUGAAUAGGGCGUUUAGUAUUUGGUCGUAGACCCGAAACCAGGUGAUCUACCCUUGGUCAGGUUGAAGUUCAGGUAACACUGAAUGGAGGACCGAACCGACUUACGUUGAAAAGUGAG
RNAcentral lists this ribosomal RNA (433 nucleotides) under Staphylococcus aureus. RNAcentral's name for it is "partial 23S ribosomal RNA". It matches the Rfam family "Bacterial large subunit ribosomal RNA", at positions 364 to 800 of the family's 2925-position model. Lineage: Bacteria; Bacillati; Bacillota; Bacilli; Caryophanales; Staphylococcaceae. The record is from RNAcentral.